ACGGAGGGUGCAAGCGUUAUCCGGAUUCAUUGGGUUUAAAGGGUGCGUAGGUGGGUUGGUAAGUCAGUGGUGAAAUCCCCGAGCUUAACUUGGGAACUGCCAUUGAUACUAUCAGUCUUGAAUAUUGUGGAGAUUAGCGGAAUAUGUCAUGUAGCGGUGAAAUGCUUAGAUAUGACAUAGAACACCAAUUGCGAAGGCAGCUGGCUACGCAUAUAUUGACACUGAGGCACGAAAGCGUGGGGAUCAAACAGGAUUAGAUACCCUGGUAGUCCACGCCCUAAACUAUGGAUACUCGACAUCAGCGAUACACUGUUGGUGUCUGAGCGAAAGCAUUAAGUAUCCCACCUGGGAAGUACGAUCGCAAGAUUG
This 369-nucleotide ribosomal RNA is filed under the name uncultured bacterium. RNAcentral describes it as "bacterial SSU rRNA". It matches the Rfam family "Bacterial small subunit ribosomal RNA", at positions 525 to 896 of the family's 1533-position model. The record is from RNAcentral.